Molecule: RNA transcript, 1975 nt
Organism: Solenopsis invicta (red fire ant)
Lineage: Eukaryota; Metazoa; Arthropoda; Insecta; Hymenoptera; Formicidae
Gene: Arp3
Gene name: actin-related protein 3
Exons: 7
Source: RefSeq, a predicted model, not a curated record
GCCACGUACCGUGUGAGUCGCUGGUCGCUGGAGUGAGUCAAGCGACAGGACAGGAGUGAGGACUAGUGGACAGGCGUGGUGUGUCGUUUUGCGGCGGUUCUGGUGUGAGCUGGUGUGCGCGCGUGUGUGUGUGUGUGGGGUUAGCCGCGACCGUCGUCGGCGCGGGUGCGUUUUGUCGGGACAAGAGCGAUCGGUGGUGCCGGGAAUCAUGCUUGGACGUCUCCCUGCGUGUGUCAUCGACGUGGGCACCGGGUAUACGAAACUGGGAUUUGCUGGUAAUAAGGAGCCUCAGUUGACUAUACCAUCAGCGAUCGCCAUCAAGGAAACAGCUAAGGUCGGUGACAAUAAUGCAAGGAGAAUUACAAAGGGUGUGGAGGACCUGGACGCCUACAUCGGGGACGAAGCAUUCGAGGCCACUGGAUACUCGGUUAAAUAUCCAGUGAGGCAUGGGCUAGUGGAGGAUUGGGACUUGAUGGAGAAGUUUUUACAACAGUGCAUUUUUAAAUACCUCAGGUCAGAGCCUGAGGAUCAUUAUUUCCUUUUAACCGAACCACCUUUAAACACACCAGAGAAUCGAGAGUAUACCGCGGAAAUUAUGUUUGAGUCAUUUAACGUGCCGGGACUUUAUAUAGCUGUGCAAGCUGUUCUCGCCUUAGCAGCCUCAUGGACUGCUAAAAAUGUAGAGGACCGCACUUUGACAGGUGUAGUUGUCGACAGUGGGGAUGGUGUUACUCAUGUAAUUCCAGUGGCAGAAGGUUUCGUCAUAGGAAGUUGUAUAAAACACAUUCCUAUCGCUGGUCGCGAUAUUACCUAUUUUAUACAAAGUUUGCUAAGGGAACGAGAGAUUGGGAUACCUCCUGAACAAUCGUUAGAAACAGCCAAGUCGAUCAAAGAGAAAUACUGUUACAUAUGCCCGGAUAUAUCGAAGGAAUUCGCCAAAUACGAUAGUGAUCCCACAAAGAUUAAGAAAUACGAAGGUAUCAACAAUAUUACUAAGCAACCUUUUGUGGUGGACGUCGGAUACGAGAGGUUUCUCGGACCGGAAAUAUUCUUUCAUCCUGAAUUUUCCAAUCCGGACUUUACAACGCCGCUCAAUGAAAUUGUCGACGACGUGAUUCAAAACUGCCCAAUCGACGUCCGAAGACCACUGUAUAGUAAUAUUGUGUUAUCGGGUGGCUCCACCAUGUUCAAAGACUUUGGUAGGCGAUUGCAACGCGAUAUAAAAAAAAUCGUCGACACGCGGCUCAAGCUCAGCGAAACGUUAAGUGGCAGCCAUAUUACGCCAAAACCAAUAGACGUUCGUGUGAUAUCGCAUCACAAACAACGUUGCGCAGUAUGGUACGGUGGCGCACUGCUGGCGAGCGAUCCAGAAUUCUACACAGUUUGUCACACAAAAAAGGCGUAUCAGGAAUAUGGUCCUGGAAUUUGUCGUUAUAAUCCCGUAUUUCACAGUAUGGUUUAAGAAAUAGGGGACGAGUAUGACGAUCGAAAUCAUUUUUAAGAAUAUUGUCACUUAUGAAUAUAGAUUUGAAUCAACAUGAUUUGAAUCUACAAUUAGAUUAUUAAUGUACGUUUAUUCUUGGUAUUUAAUCAUCGUUGAGGAUGUAUGGCAUACACUUGACGAGGCGCAUUUCCAUAGAAUUUACUGUGUAUUUUAUUUACUGCGAUAGAUAUAUUUAUCAUAUUUACAAGUCUUUAAAAAAAAUGCAUGUAUAAUAACAGAUUUAUGAUGUUAGAAUAAUUAUUUGUCGUUUAAUAGUGAUGCAUAAUAAUGCAACACUACACACCAUUCAAAAGCAAUUUUACACUAAGCAAAAAUUCUAACAAAAUUUUAUACAUGAAAUUUCUUUAUACAUAAAAUCAAAUGAAUUCUAGAAUUAUCUUCUUAAACUAUUGUAUGGACUUGUUUGCAUUUUUACAUGUACUAUUUAAAACAAUGUAUAUGUAUUAUUUAAAAUUGCACUGUUUGGACAGA